UACAGAGGGGGCAAGCGUUGUUCGGAAUUACUGGGCGUAAAGGGCGCGUAGGCGGCCGCCUAAGUCAGACGUGAAAUCCCUCGGCUCAACCGGGGAACUGCGUCUGAUACUGGGUGGCUUGAAUCCGGGAGAGGGAUGCGGAAUUCCAGGUGUAGCGGUGAAAUGCGUAGAUAUCUGGAGGAACACCGGUGGCGAAGGCGGCAUCCUGGACCAAUAUUGACGCUGAGGAGCGAAAGCCAGGGGAGCAAACGGG
This 253-nucleotide ribosomal RNA is filed under the name uncultured bacterium. RNAcentral describes it as "partial 16S ribosomal RNA". It matches the Rfam family "Bacterial small subunit ribosomal RNA", at positions 524 to 776 of the family's 1533-position model. The record is from RNAcentral.